GAUGAACGCUGGCGGCGUGCCUAAUACAUGCAGGUCGAGCGAACGGACGAGAAGCUUGCUUCUCUGAUGUUAGCGGCGGACGGGUGAGUAACACGUGGAUAACCUACCUAUAAGACUGGGAUAACUUCGGGAAACCGGAGCUAAUACCGGAUAAUAUUUUGAACCGCAUGGUUCAAAAGUGAAAGACGGUCUUGCUGUCACUUAUAGAUGGAUCCGCGCUGCAUUAGCUAGUUGGUAAGGUAACGGCUUACCAAGGCAACGAUGCAUAGCCGACCUGAGAGGGUGAUCGGCCACACUGGAACUGAGACACGGUCCAGACUCCUACGGGAGGCAGCAGUAGGGAAUCUUCCGCAAUGGGCGAAAGCCUGACGGAGCAACGCCGCGUGAGUGAUGAAGGUCUUCGGAUCGUAAAACUCUGUUAUUAGGGAAGAACAUAUGUGUAAGUAACUGUGCACAUCUUGACGGUACCUAAUCAGAAAGCCACGGCUAACUACG
This 495-nucleotide ribosomal RNA is filed under the name uncultured bacterium. Its description in RNAcentral is "partial 16S ribosomal RNA". It matches the Rfam family "Bacterial small subunit ribosomal RNA", at positions 28 to 505 of the family's 1533-position model. The record is from RNAcentral.